GACGAACGCUGGCGGCGUGCCUAACACAUGCAAGUCAACUUGACUGAAGGAGCAAUCUGACAGUAGAGUGGCGCAAGGGUGCGUAACGCGUAAGUAACUUGCCCAAGGUAAGGAAUAACGUCGAGAAAUCGGCGCUAAUACCUCAUAAUGCAGCGGAUCCGCAUGGAUAUGUUGUUAAAGGUUUACCGCCUUGGGAUAGGCUUGCGUCUGAUUAGCUAGUUGGUGUGGUAACGGCACACCAAGGCUACGAUCAGUAACUGGUCUGAGAGGAUGAUCAGUCACACUGGAACUGAGACACGGUCCAGACUCCUACGGGAGGCAGCAGUGAGGAAUAUUGGGCAAUGCUCGAAAGAGUGACCCAGCAACGCCGCGUGGAGGAUGAAGGUAUUUUAUAUCGUAAACUCCUGUGAGAGCAGACGAAGACAGAUUAUUAAUCUGGAUGACUGUAUGCUCAGAGG
RNAcentral lists this ribosomal RNA (458 nucleotides) under uncultured bacterium. RNAcentral describes it as "bacterial SSU rRNA". It matches the Rfam family "Bacterial small subunit ribosomal RNA", at positions 28 to 487 of the family's 1533-position model. The record is from RNAcentral.